RNAcentral lists this long non-coding RNA (533 nucleotides) under Homo sapiens (human). RNAcentral describes it as "HSALNT0304893". Lineage: Eukaryota; Metazoa; Chordata; Mammalia; Primates; Hominidae. The record is from RNAcentral.
CAGGAGGGCUGGACAUUUGGGACCCUAAUGAGGGAGGGGUAGGCUCAGGGACAAGACAUCCACUCUGACAGCCACACGGUCAGCUGACCCCCACUGCUGGGAAUGCAUGCAUGGCUCCAGUCGCAUCCCACACUGGAUGGGCAUCACCUCUGCUUGAAUCAACCAAAGGGAAACAAGUCCACGGGCCCACCAGACCUUAAAUGCAAGGCUUGAAAAUGAGGCACAUUCAUGCAACAUGUAACCAGCCCAACCUGGAGCAGACAAAGGACUCCAGGAGAUCGAGUCCAGGAGACACCUGUAUUCGGUUACCAACAGCUCAUUUCCUUAUGUUGCUGCACUUUCAGUUUCUAAGCUCACUUAUGCCAACUAUUGGUUUGACCCAAGAAACUUUGAAAAUACACAUUCUGCAUGCUUCUGCACAUUGCGGACGACUCUAUACCGCUUGCAUAGCCCCACACCCCUGUCAAAGGCAGGAGGAGGAUGCUUAAAGCUGCCACUGGAGACGGAUACAGCACAUGGUUGUUCUGGAAAAG